This 400-nucleotide ribosomal RNA is filed under the name uncultured bacterium. RNAcentral's name for it is "bacterial SSU rRNA". It matches the Rfam family "Bacterial small subunit ribosomal RNA", at positions 355 to 772 of the family's 1533-position model. The record is from RNAcentral.
UGGGGAAUAUUGGACAAUGGGCGCAAGCCUGAUCCAGCCAUGCCGCGUGAGUGAUGAAGGCCCUAGGGUUGUAAAGCUCUUUCACCGGUGAAGAUAAUGACGGUAACCGGAGAAGAAGCCCCGGCUAACUUCGUGCCAGCAGCCGCGGUAAUACGAAGGGGGCUAGCGUUGUUCGGAUUUACUGGGCGUAAAGCGCACGUAGGCGGAUCGUUAAGUGAGGGGUGAAAUCCCAGGGCUCAACCCUGGAACUGCCUUUCAUACUGGCGAUCUCGAGUCCGGAAGAGGUGAGUGGAACUCCUAGUGUAGAGGUGGAAUUCGUAGAUAUUAGGAAGAACACCAGUGGCGAAGGCGGCUCACUGGUCCGGUACUGACGCUGAGGUGCGAAAGCGUGGGGAGCAAA